GAUGAACGCUGGCGGCGUGCCUAAUACAUGCAAGUCGAGCGAAUGGAUUAAGAGCUUGCUCUUAUGAAGUUAGCGGCGGACGGGUGAGUAACACGUGGGUAACCUGCCCAUAAGACUUGGAUAACUAUUGGAAACGAUAGCUAAUACAAGAUAACAAUAUUUAACACAUGUUAGAUAUUUAAAAGAUGCGUUUGCAUCACUUACAAAUGGGCCUGCGCAGCAUUAGCUAGUUGGUAGAGUAAUGGCCUACCAAGGCGACGAUGCUUAGCCGGUCUGAGAGGAUGAACGGCCACACUGGGACUGAGACACGGCCCAGACUUCUACGGAAGGCAGCAGUAGGGAAUUUUCCGCAAUGGACGAAAGUCUGACGGAGCAACGCCGCGUGAACGAUGAAGGCCUUCGGGUUGUAAAGUUCUGUUAUAAGGAAAGAACACACUAAUAAGGAAAUGUAUUAGUAUUGACGGUACCUUAUCAGAAAGCCACGGCUAACUACGUGCCAGCAGCCGCAGUAA
RNAcentral lists this ribosomal RNA (512 nucleotides) under uncultured bacterium. Its description in RNAcentral is "partial 16S ribosomal RNA". It matches the Rfam family "Bacterial small subunit ribosomal RNA", at positions 28 to 523 of the family's 1533-position model. The record is from RNAcentral.